AGACACGGAAGCUAAGUGGAAUCUUCCAGCUCAGAAACUGUGCGCUGGGGAGCAGGAACGGACAACAGGUGAUAUGGGGCGGCCAGGUUCACACAUAACCACAGACUUUGGUUUAAUGUGACACAAGCAGCAUGCUGGUGUUUGGAGGAAACCAACCAUGAACCUGGGUUUGGAUGACCUGACAAGCUGAACUCCUGGUGGUUUUGUCUGUGGUGCAGCAGCAGCAAGUAUGAGGAAGGAAUUUCCCACAGAGUCAUGCUGGAAGUAAUUAAAUACAAGGAGCCUCCCACUGUCAUCUUAGCAGCUCUGCUUUGCCAGCCUGGUUUCAGCAGACCAUGAAAAGAAAGCAGUUCU
Long non-coding RNA from Zootoca vivipara (common lizard), 354 nucleotides. RefSeq lists it as uncharacterized. The record is from RefSeq and is a predicted model, not a curated record. Lineage: Eukaryota; Metazoa; Chordata; Lepidosauria; Squamata; Lacertidae.